AGAGUUCUCAGAGCAUACAACAUGUAAACUUAAAAUUGGGUAAAGUCAUGAGACUCAAUUUAUGAGUCAAAAUCUUGAACUCCAUGAUAUUCACACAAUUAAUGGGGAAGACGUAAAUCACAUAACUUGAUAACUAGUUGUUAAAUAUCAUCUACAAACUUUCUCUUGAACAUUCUGUAGAUGAGCCGUCGGUGUGGAGGAAGUUAGGUUCUCUCUUUAACCUUGCUUGCACGUUAAAACCCUAAUACGUGUUUUUCGUUAGUGUAACACGAUAUGGGUAUGUGCAUUGUUAUAGAUAGAGAGAACCUGUUUCCUUGAAACUCAUAAUUAUUUAUCACCCAUCACAAUAAUAUCCAUUAAACUGAAUAUAUCACACUCGGACCAUAUCAUGUGCACCACAUUAGGUUAUAAUAAUAUUCUUACCCGAGGCCACGUCCUGCAGGCGAAGCUGAACUCACUGCGUCACUAUGCCUAUCUAUAUCUAGCUCAUUCUUAUGUAGCAGUGUUGAAAGUACAACACCAGCCCAUAACUUAAAGCCUAGCCCAUUAUGAAGUCUUGAUGUUCUAGAUGAAUUAUACAUGGGAUUUUGCUAGAAAGUUCUAGCAAGCAUGUCGGUGGGAACAAGCUAGAAUUGUCUAGCUAUUAUAACAAUUGUGUGGCCAUUAUGUAAUGCCCAUGUCGGUGGGCAGAGGGAAAGUUGAUGAACACCACCUAUAAA
RNAcentral lists this long non-coding RNA (719 nucleotides) under Malus domestica (apple). Its description in RNAcentral is "long non-coding RNA (MDOM_LNC010935)". The record is from RNAcentral. Lineage: Eukaryota; Viridiplantae; Streptophyta; Magnoliopsida; Rosales; Rosaceae.